This 86-nucleotide transfer RNA is filed under the name Alphaproteobacteria bacterium. Its description in RNAcentral is "tRNA-Leu". It matches the Rfam family "tRNA". Rfam says of the family: Transfer RNA (tRNA) molecules are approximately 80 nucleotides in length. Their secondary structure includes four short double-helical elements and three loops (D, anti-codon, and T loops). Further hydrogen bonds mediate the characteristic L-shaped molecular structure. tRNAs have two regions of fundamental functional importance: the anti-codon, which is responsible for specific mRNA codon recognition, and the 3' end, to which the tRNAs corresponding amino acid is attached (by aminoacyl-tRNA synthetases). tRNAs cope with the degeneracy of the genetic code in two manners: having more than one tRNA (with a specific anti-codon) for a particular amino acid; and 'wobble' base-pairing, i.e. permitting non-standard base-pairing at the 3rd anti-codon position. Lineage: Bacteria; Pseudomonadati; Pseudomonadota; Alphaproteobacteria. The record is from RNAcentral. RNAcentral also lists the same sequence under 2 other names.
GCGGGCGUGGCGGAAUUGGUAGACGCGCCAGAUUUAGGUUCUGGUGACUUAAGGUCGUGGGGGUUCGAGUCCCUUCGCCCGCACCA